Molecule: ribosomal RNA, 123 nt
Filed under: Lejeunea anisophylla
Lineage: Eukaryota; Viridiplantae; Streptophyta; Jungermanniopsida; Porellales; Lejeuneaceae
Description: partial 26S ribosomal RNA
Rfam family: Eukaryotic large subunit ribosomal RNA
Source: RNAcentral
GGACCUCAGAUCAGGCAAGACCACCCGCUGAGUUUAAGCAUAUCACUAAGCGGAGGAAAAGAAACUAACAAGGAUUUCCCUAGUAACGGCGAGCGAACCGGAAGUAGCCCAGCUUGAAAAUCU